UGAGGAAUCUUGCGCAAUGGGGGAAACCCUGACGCAGCAACGCCGCGUGAGUGAGGAAGGCCUUCGGGUCGUAAAGCUCUGUCAGAUGGGAAGAAAUGGGUGGGGGCUAAUAUCGUCCAUCCUUGACGGUACCAUCAGAGGAAGCACCGGCUAACUCCAUGCCAGCAGCCGCGGUAAUACGGGGGGUGCAAGCGUUGUUCGGAAUCAUUGGGCGUAAAGCGCGCGCAGGCGGCUUGGUAAGUCAGAUGUGAAAUCCCGGGGCUUAACCCAGGAAGUGCAUUUGAUACUGCCGCGCUAGAGUACGGGAGAGGAAAGUGGAAUUCCUGGUGUAGAGGUGAAAUUCGUAGAUAUCAGGAGGAACACCGGUGGCGAAGGCGACUUUCUGGCCCGAUACUGACGCUCAGGCGCGAAAGCGUGGGGAGCAAACA
RNAcentral lists this ribosomal RNA (428 nucleotides) under uncultured prokaryote. RNAcentral describes it as "bacterial SSU rRNA". It matches the Rfam family "Bacterial small subunit ribosomal RNA", at positions 355 to 774 of the family's 1533-position model. The record is from RNAcentral.